GGUUGACUUAUUUUGAAGUGAAACCCACUGCUGGGUGAAAAACUUAAUUUGUUGGCCCAGAACUAGCAUUUUCUAAAAUGGAAGGAAAGAUAGAGGAAGGCAUACACCAGCAUCUCAGGUAUAAAGGACUUGCCUGGCCCUCUGCCCCUUUCCAGUGGUUCCCUGCCAGAAGGUGCCUUAGACUUGUGGCAAUUCAGUGGCCCUGCUGCAGGCCAAUUCUGCUUGGCUGGACAUCUGCCCACGAGGGGAUGGUUGAGAUCCACUAAAGGAUUUCAUGCUGAAGCCGUGGCUGCUGACCAAAUAUUUGAGAACUAUUGCAUCAGCUGACACUGAUUCUAUCGGAAUGAAGAAUACAGAAACCAGAGCCAAUUCUCCUGCUACCAAGAAAGCCAUAUUUUCUGCACGUGUGUCUGUUUUUACAUAUUCUUUAAGAAAGUAGAAUUCAGAGAAUACACACCAACUGGCUCGCUAAGCUCCAGUUAUGUUUACCUUCAUAUAUCUGAAGACAAAUAG
Talpa occidentalis (Iberian mole) is the source of this 513-nucleotide long non-coding RNA. RefSeq lists it as uncharacterized. NCBI's taxonomy places the organism in Eukaryota, Metazoa, Chordata, Mammalia, Eulipotyphla, Talpidae. The transcript is spliced from 5 exons. The record is from RefSeq and is a predicted model, not a curated record.